Molecule: transfer RNA, 72 nt
Filed under: Allokutzneria albata
Lineage: Bacteria; Bacillati; Actinomycetota; Actinomycetes; Pseudonocardiales; Pseudonocardiaceae
Description: Kibdelosporangium albatum tRNA
Rfam family: tRNA
About the family: Transfer RNA (tRNA) molecules are approximately 80 nucleotides in length.
Source: Rfam by way of RNAcentral
GGGCGCAUAGCUCAGUGGGAGAGCACUCGCCUUACAAGCGAGGGGUCGCAGGUUCGAAACCUGCUGCGCCCA